GCUAACGACGCAGUGUUGUUAAAUUAUUUAAUUUUUUGCACUCCCCCCCCCCAAAAAAAGUCUAUAUAUUUGGCAGAUGUAAAGCAUACAUGUGUAUGUUUUUUGUGUUAGUCCAUUUUUAUUUUAUUUUAUUAUUAUUAUAACAGCUCAGGGAUGUUCAAGGAGCAACAUGUUGGUGCACUUUCUAAAGAUUUUAGUUCUGUUUUUGAAUAAAGGGUUGGAAAUGAAUGCUUUUCUUUUUUUUUUAAAUCCGAUUCAUCGAUUAAUCGGAAAAAUAAUCGACAGAUUAAUCGAUUAUUAAAAUAAUCGUUAGUUGCAGCCCUAAAUAAAACAAUACAGUUUUUACAAACCCAUGGGAACGGAUUGCGAAAGCAUGCACAUGGAUUAUGAAUUUGUGAGUACGGACUAAAAUACAGAAGGUACGGUUUUCAAAAUGGAGAAUUUCUUGAAUUUUCUAAAAAAACGAUAGAGAGUUGGAUGUACUCAAGAUGAAUUCAAGAGUAUGUCAGAUGAGCAUCUACUGACAUAUGUCCCCAGAUUUGGAGACCGGACUGCAAUAAGACAGUAUACUGAAGAAGAGAAGUAGCUGCAUUAGGAAAUACCAUAGUAUUGGAUGGAAGCAUAAGACUAGACAGUGAGAGAGUCAUUGGGAAGCAUUCUGUACAAUGUGUUUAAACCCUAUACACUGAAAAGUCUAUAAUUUACUUUUAAAGUCAUUUUGGGGGGGGGGGGAAGCUUAGUAGGCCUCACUGUAAAAAAAAAAAAAAAUGACAUUUUGAAAAAUUGUGGAAACUGACAAAUAAAUAUUGGCUCAACAAAUUGCUUCCCAAUAAUUGUACAAAGCAGUACAAAUGCAGUACAAUGAAGUACAACUGGACAAUUGCAGUAUAAUGAAGUAUAUAACUGCAGUUCAUUAAAGUUCAAGAGCAGUAAAACUGAAGUAUAAUGAAGUGCAACUGUAGAUUUGCUGUAUAAUGAAGUGCAGAUACAAUAUACAGUAACUGCAGUUCAGUGAUACGCUGAAAUGCAGGUGAAGAUAUCAGAUGCAAAAACGUCUAAAUCUGUCUGAUUAAAUUCAUUUAAUUGUAUUUUUUUUUUUUAUGAGCAUUUUUUUAAAUAAAGCUCCUAUGAUUAGGUUCAGUAAUUUCACUUAUGGCAAUGAGGUUCUUUUCAUUGCCAAUAAAGUCGUCUUGUAUAGGCCCUGUACUGCAGUUUUUGUACUGUAUUGUGCAACAUGUAGCAAGUGCUGUGGUUGGCAAGUGUUUUUUUUUUUUUUUUUUGUAAUGUAGACUUCCUAUAAAAUAUUCGUACAAAAAUAUUUUUGUACAAAAAUAUUUGCCUAUGGAAUAUUUCACUCACAUAGAUUAAUAACCCGCACGUGUGAUCUUCCUUCGCGCCAAAGGUCGUUGUCCUGACAACGAGUCUCGAGAGCAGCUGAUUACUUGUAACAGACAGUAAAUCAGCGUCUUUUCCGUAGUGUCUACUGCAGGAUGGAUAUAAAAGUAUAAAACACGUUUUGGUUUGACAACAUCGUUCAUAUGUGAACUAUCACAAUUAAAGGACAAAGACAUAACAACAUUACACCCCGAGACCUUUCACAAGUGCGACAAAAGAGAAGAAACGCUUUCCGGAAGAAGUUCAUCAGGCGAGUUGGAGACUAGUCGACUCAUCCAGUUUAGCGGAGAGCAUCAACCCCUAAUUGACAUGAGGAAAAAAUCAUUGAAAAGUGUUCAGUGUACAGUGUACCCCUCUUUGCAGCAGAGGAAGCUUUAGGAAAGAGGAGAAGAGAGAAAGUGAAAAGGCUCUCAACAGAUGUUGGAAAUGCACUGGUAACAACUAAAAAAAGAUGACCAAACAUAUAAUUCAACAGAAGAUGAUGGCUGUGGUGAAACAAGCACUCAAAUAAUGAAAUGCAUGUUAUUGUGGGUAGUUGCAUGGACUAUCAGUGGAGGAACAGAAAGCUCUGAGAUUUCAUUAUAAAGAUCUUCAUUUGUGUUCUGAAGAUGAAUGAAAGACUUGGGUUUGGAACAUCAUGAGGGUGAGUUAUUGAUGACAGAAUUUUCAUUUUUGGGUGAACCAACCUUUUAACUUCUGUUAUCUGGAGUGUUCAAGACAUUGUUAAUGCUGACCAAUAUGUCAUAAGAAAUUAACUGGGAGUAGAAUGAAUACUUUGCACAAACACUUGGUGACAUCACAAUUCAAGAUAUAUUUUAAGCAUACUAAAUAUGCCUGUGGUGAAAAGUGUAACUGAAACUUGAGAAUUUCUGAUCGUUUUUGCUUGUUUGUUUUUCCAGACUACAUCCAAAAUAGUGUUUCCACAUCUGAGAUGAAGGCAGUCAUAAGAGCCAAGCAAAACGAUGAGGAUAAGCUCUUCAAAAAAUGAAACCUGUUUAAAUAAUGCGGGAAGAAAUGUGCAUGAUUGUGUGAUUUGUAAAUAAACACUAAGUACAUUUAGUGUAACUCUCAGCCUGUUAUUUUAAGUUUAAAGAAAAGUAAAAUAAUUUGUUGCAUUGCUGUUUGAGACAUUCACUGUUGUUUUGUACCUUAAUUUAUUAUAUUGCAGUUGUGUAAAAUAAAACUUGUUAUUCUGAAUAUUCUGGUUGCA
Molecule: long non-coding RNA, 2605 nt
Organism: Onychostoma macrolepis
Lineage: Eukaryota; Metazoa; Chordata; Actinopteri; Cypriniformes; Cyprinidae
Exons: 4
Source: RefSeq, a predicted model, not a curated record